Molecule: ribosomal RNA, 253 nt
Filed under: uncultured bacterium
Lineage: Bacteria
Description: partial 16S ribosomal RNA
Rfam family: Bacterial small subunit ribosomal RNA
Source: RNAcentral
UACGUAGGGUGCAAGCGUUAAUCGGAAUUACUGGGCGUAAAGCGUGCGCAGGCGGUGGUGUAAGACCGAUGUGAAAUCCCCGGGCUCAACCUGGGAACUGCAUUGGUGACUGCAUCGCUAGAGUAUGGCAGAGGGGGGUGGAAUUCCACGUGUAGCAGUGAAAUGCGUAGAGAUGUGGAGGAACACCGAUGGCGAAGGCAGCCCCCUGGGCCAAUACUGACGCUCAUGCACGAAAGCGUGGGGAGCAAACAGG